CUGGAAAACCUAAGAUGGGAGCAUAAAUAGCUGUGAGAUAAAGUGAAAAGGAGAACAGCUACGAUGCUUCACCCAGACCAUUGCACAUCACAUCAGAGAGGAAGACACAUGUGUGAUUCAUUUUCUUAAGCCUCAAGUCUAAGGAUUUACCUAAGGAUCCAGGAAUGUCAUGAGGUCCUGUUUCCUCCUUUUACUUAAAAAAGUCACCUUCAUGUGAAAUAACCUGCUAUUUUGCCAAACCGGUCUGUCAGUAUAAGGAAGCCUGGGAAUGCCUUAGCGGAC
Molecule: long non-coding RNA, 282 nt
Organism: Lynx canadensis (Canada lynx)
Lineage: Eukaryota; Metazoa; Chordata; Mammalia; Carnivora; Felidae
Exons: 3
Source: RefSeq, a predicted model, not a curated record